GAGGUUGUGCCCUUGAGGCGUGGCUUCCGGAGCUAACGCGUUAAGUCGACCGCCUGGGGAGUACGGCCGCAAGGUUAAAACUCAAAUGAAUUGACGGGGGCCCGCACAAGCGGUGGAGCAUGUGGUUUAAUUCGAUGCAACGCGAAGAACCUUACCUGGUCUUGACAUCCACAGAACUUUCCAGAGAUGGAUUGGUGCCUUCGGGAACUGUGAGACAGGUGCUGCAUGGCUGUCGUCAGCUCGUGUUGUGAAAUGUUGGGUUAAGUCCCGCAACGAGCGCAACCCUUAUCCUUUGUUGUCAGCGGUCCGGCCGGGAACUCAAAGGAGACUGCCAGUGAUAAACUGGAGGAAGGUGGGGAUGACGUCAAGUCAUCAUGGCCCUUACGACCAGGGCUACACACGUGCUACAAUGGCGCAUACAAAGAGAAGCGACCUCGCGAGAGCAAGCGGACCUCAUAAAGUGCGUCGUAGUCCGGAUUGGAGUCUGCAACUCGACUCCAUGAAGUCGGAAUCGCUAGUAAUCGUGGAUCAGAAUGCCACGGUGAAUACGUUCCCGGGCCUUGUACACACCGCCCGUCACACCAUGGGAGUGGGUUGCAAAAGAAGUNNNNNNNUUAACCUUCGGGAGGGCGCUUACCACUUUGUGAUUCAUGACUGGGGUGAAGUCGUAACAAGGUAACCGUAA
This 685-nucleotide ribosomal RNA is filed under the name uncultured bacterium. RNAcentral describes it as "bacterial SSU rRNA". It matches the Rfam family "Bacterial small subunit ribosomal RNA", at positions 820 to 1505 of the family's 1533-position model. The record is from RNAcentral.